Molecule: microRNA precursor, 168 nt
Filed under: Pelobates cultripes (western spadefoot toad)
Lineage: Eukaryota; Metazoa; Chordata; Amphibia; Anura; Pelobatidae
Source: RNAcentral
GCAGACACAUUCCAGCCAAUCAGCAGCAGACCCUCCCUCCCAGACCCUCCCACCUCCUGGACAGCAUCCAUUUUACAUUCAUUGUGAAGCUGCAUUCUUAGUGCGCUGUCCAGGAGGUGGGAGGGUCUGGGAGGGAGGGUCUGCUGCUGAUUGGCUGGAAUGUGUCUG